Long non-coding RNA from Centruroides sculpturatus (bark scorpion), 1179 nucleotides. RefSeq lists it as uncharacterized. The transcript has 4 exons. Lineage: Eukaryota; Metazoa; Arthropoda; Arachnida; Scorpiones; Buthidae. The record is from RefSeq and is a predicted model, not a curated record.
AAAGAUAAAUCGCUUGAACGCAUUGUUAAGUUUAAUUUAGAAGUAUUGCAUCAAUGAUUUCUUUAUUAUUAAAUAGGUAAAGUGUCAUAUCAUUAGAACAGGUAUAUUCAAGAUAAAGAUACUGUUUUUUGCCGAUAAUACUAGCCUAAUAUCAAUACUGGAUGACAAAAAUAUCUUAAUAUACUGUUUAAAUAUUUAAAUGCGUAAUGAGAUUUUUGCUAUUCAAGCUGUAUUCUAUUUUUGAAAUAAGUUGAAAGGAAUCGAAAUAUAGCCUUGAACAACAUAAAAAAAAAAACAGGAAGUUUGUAUAUUUCAUAGUAACACAGUAGCUCUCUAACUUGUAAAAUGGAGAAUAUUUGUCGUCACGGGUAAAAAAAAGCUGCUUCGAUUUGCAUAAAUUAUAAUCAGAUAAUAGAAUAAAUAAAAAAUUAUAAAUAUAUUCAAGGAUCUUUGCACAAGUUUGAUUUUCAUUUUUAUUCACUUUGCAAUUUAAUUCCGGAAUGGAGAAAAAGUAUUUAAAAAUUUCCGCAAAAGAUAAAAAGGUUAAUGCAAAAGUUCGCCUUUGCACGAAUAAUGAUUGUGAAGAUAACGAUGGUGAAUUAUUUGUAAACGACAUGGAAAUAGUGCAAAAGAAAGAAACAUAAAGUAAUGUUAUGAAAUUGUUUGCAGGGAAUGGCCUUAUGUUGAUCACGCAAACAAACAAUUAUUCUUUCAUUCAAAAUGAAAUGAAUGCUUCAAUUUUAGAACUUCUUAUUAAAACAAUUACAAAAAAUUCGAGACGUAUAUAUUUAAAAACGUUUGUAUUGCCAUUUAUUGAUAUGUACAGUACAACUAAAAACUUUCGAGUGUUUUCAUAAAAAUCGACCAAGAACAAAACCAUAAAGCAACUAGUAAACUUCUCCGGAAGAAUUUCAAAAGGAAAACGUUUUCUUAGAUCUGGGAGUAAAAAAUAAGACAUUUGAUAAUGGACAUAAUAGAAAAAAUAAAUGGCUUAAUGGAUUUCAGUAAACUUUGCUUAAUGAUUCAUUUUCAGUGUUUUUUCAGUUCUAAAAUUUAUCAAAUACUGCUAAUUUUUUUAAUUUUUUGCGUUUUAAAAAGUAAUUUGUUUUAAAUAUUUUAUUCUAAAUACAUCUAAAAUUUUUAGAUCUAAUAAUAAACUCAAACUAGGCAAUUUAAAAA